AACGAACGCUGGCGGCGUGCUUAACACAUGCAAGUCGAACGCGAAAGGGACUUCGGUCCUGAGUAAAGUGGCGCACGGGUGAGUAACGCGUAGAUAACCUGUCUUCAUGUCUGGAAUAAUACGCCGAAAGGGGUACUAAUACCGGAUAUUCUUGCUUUUCAUAAGUUAUGCAAGCAAAGGUGGCCUCUGCAUAUGCUACUGCAUGAAGAGGGGUCUGCGUACCAUUAGCUAGUAGGUGGGGUAAUGGCCUACCUAGGCGACGAUGGUUAGCGGGUCUGAGAGGAUGAUCCGCCACACUGGCACUGGAACACGGGCCAGACUCCUACGGGAGGCAGCAGUGAGGAAUAUUGCGCAAUCCGGGGGAAACCCUGACGCAGCGACGCCGCGUGAGUGAGGAAGGCCUUCGGGUCGUAAAGCUCUGUCAAGAGGAAAGAAGUGUACAAUGGCUAAUACCUGUUGUAUUUGACGGUACCUCUAAAGGAAGCACCGGCUAACUCCGUGCCAGCCGCGGC
This 512-nucleotide ribosomal RNA is filed under the name uncultured bacterium. RNAcentral's name for it is "bacterial SSU rRNA". It matches the Rfam family "Bacterial small subunit ribosomal RNA", at positions 29 to 518 of the family's 1533-position model. The record is from RNAcentral.